Molecule: ribosomal RNA, 253 nt
Filed under: uncultured bacterium
Lineage: Bacteria
Description: partial 16S ribosomal RNA
Rfam family: Bacterial small subunit ribosomal RNA
Source: RNAcentral
UACGGGGGGGGCAAGCGUUGUUCGGAAUUACUGGGCGUAAAGGGCUCGUAGGCGGCCAACUAAGUCAGACGUGAAAUCCCUCGGCUUAACCGGGGAACUGCGUCUGAUACUGGAUGGCUUGAGAUUGGGAGAGGGAUGCGGAAUUCCAGGUGUAGCGGUGAAAUGCGUUGAUAUCCACAGGAACUCCGGUGGCGAAGGCGGCACGCUGGACCCCUUCUGACGCUGAGGCGCGAAAGCCAGGGGAGCGAACGGG